AAAAGUCGUAACAAGGUUUCCGUAGGUGAACCUGCGGAAGGAUCAUUAACACUUUUUAUUAUUUUGUUUUUUUUCUAAAACAAAAUUUAAAACCCCACAAUUUUGGAUGAAUUUAAUUUAUUUAUUUUUUAUUUUAUUUUUUUUAUUAUAACCCUAUUAUUUGACUAACAUUUUUAUUUAAUUAUUAAAAAUUAAAAAAACAACUCUUAACAACGGAUAUCUUGGCUCUCG
Molecule: unclassified non-coding RNA, 231 nt
Filed under: fungal sp.
Lineage: Eukaryota; Fungi
Description: partial internal transcribed spacer region
Rfam family: Eukaryotic small subunit ribosomal RNA (bases 1-48)
Source: RNAcentral